UACCACCACCAGGAUGAGUUCCUUGUAACCCAUUGGGAGACCGUUCCUCGUUGGCCAGUACAGCUUUCCUGACACAGGGCCUUUCUGUCUUGAAGGGGGAAGGGGAUUUUCCUGUGAAGAUCUGUCCCAGCCAGCAUGAACUUAUGAUGAGGGGAGUUUGAUUUGAAUGCAAGGGGUGCACAAGACUCCCUUUCAAAAUACAUCAAAACUGCACUGCUUCCUUUUUUUUUUUUUUUUUUUUUUAACGAAUAACGAAUGGCAAAGAGAUGUUAAGACACAGCUCAACACUCUACGCCACUUCUAAACCUGCCCUUGAGUAAGUCGACUUCUGCAGCAAUAAUGAAAUUCGUCACGAACUCCUCAGUGCCACCUGGAAGGAGUGGCGGGUCUAUCAAGAGAAGCAAUUUGACUGUCAGUAUGUUUCCUCUUUGUUUGGAACUAGCCCAUGUGGAGCAUCCUACUUCAAAAACCAGCACCACUUGUGGCCUUUCCGUGAAUUUGUUGGAUGGCUGUGCGGCUAUUCAGCCAUGCAGAUGCAAUUUUAGUAAGAAAUGUGGCUUGGAAGUGCAGGGCAAACCUUUGUAUGAGACUUCCAAGGGACUGGGCUGUCUGGCAUGGAAGCUGUCUCUCCUUGCCAUCACAUUGCCAGUUUGUUUCCUCAUGCUGCCAGUUCCUGUGUUUUCUUUAACUUUGUUGAUAACGGCAUUCCUUUGUUUCCUUGUUGUCAAAUCACCUCUGGGAGCUGGGAAGGGAAGCACCAUGGGGAGUGGGGAAAUGGCAAAUGUUUUUGGGAGACAUUUUCAAAGGUGAACAUGUUAAAUAGGCACCUAACUGCCAUUUGUGCCUUUCAAAAUCUCUCCCUUCACCUUUUUCACUGUUGCCUGUAGUUGCACGUGUUUUGAUGUUAGAUUUUUAUGGAAUGUCCACUCAGGUGAAUGGAAGAUCAGAGAAUAGUGGAGCAUCUUUUUUCAUAGAAGCACCCAGCCCACUGAUGUGUUUAAGAGAAGAUUACAUCUGAGUUAAGAGAUCUCUCUGGUCCCAUAAAAGGGAAUAGUUUCAGUGGUCGAACUGAUCAGUCCUUCAGCAAACUCUCUGUAGUUUCUCUUGAGAGUUCAAUGGAAUCCACCUCAGAGGGCUGAUCAUCACAGAAUUAUGUGGAUUCUAAUGUAUCUGAUAAGUCAGGUGAGCUAGGCAGUGAAGGGAACCAGUGCGUCAUCUGAAAGAUAACCUUUCUUAGGUUAGCAAUAAGGUAAUUAGAUGUGCAGUGACUAGAACUGGUUGGAAAUUUUCUGAUGAAGCUUAGUUUCACUGGAAAAUGCCAAGACAGUACAGCCAAAUGAGUCACCAAAUCUACUACCUAUUUGACUACACUUUAAUCAAAACAUACAGGUUUCCUUGGCUCCAGAGGAUGAAGAUGCAUAGCAUAGGGGCACUCUGCCUCCCCCUCAAGCUUUGUGGGACAGGCAGUGCCUGUCUGGCUCCCCAAGCUGGAGGAUUGGCGGGGAGACAGAGCAACUGGGCUUUCUGCCUCUUCAGCUGCAAGGCUGGAAAGAUCUUGUCAAUUUCACAAGUGAAACUAACAAGAGCCUUCCCCUAGGGCAACUGGGAAGCCAAAAAAAUGGUUUCUGUUCUCCCAAAAUGGAAUUUGUUUUUAAAUCUCUUCCACUAAAAGUUUCAUGUUUUUGGCUCUUUGUCCUGCUGUGGGAUUAAACUCUUUUCAAAAACGUGAAAAUUUUCAUGGAAAGGGAUUCCCUUUUUUUGGCCAGCUCUAGUAGUGACCUCAGUGUCUCGGGAUUGUGAAGAUCACCAUCUGGGUAUCAAAGAGGGAAACAGGGAUAAUUCUUGUUAUGGAGAUUUGCUAGGAUUUGAUGUAUUUACAGCAAUGAACUCAUUUAGCAGAACUCAAAAUAUUUUUAUGCCGUGUAUGCUUACAGUUCCUAUUUUUAAAAGGAAUAAGGAUUUUGCCCAAUUAACAGUCACAAAGGUAACUUUCCAGGAGCCUCUGGGUCUCCCAUUAUUCGCUUAAAAUAGAAAAGGUUGCAGUGUCCUGAUCUGUAAUGAAGAGGAGGUCCUGGCAUGUAUAGUUCUGUCUUUAUUGGAUUUAUCUGCCUGCAUUGCAUGCUGGACCUGUAGUCUCCAUAAGUCACAUCUUGACAUUAAAGAUUAAGACCACCAAGAGAGAUUGAUAUGUGAGAUUGUGAAGCAUGGCCCAGUAAAUAGGGCACAGGACUGGGAAUCAGGAGGACUGAGUUCUCUUCCUAGAUUUGCCAUUGACUCCCAGUUUGACCUUGGGCAAACCACUUAACUCUUCUGUGCCUCAGUGUCCUCAUUCUUAAAUUUGACCUACUUGUGGAAAGAACUUGGAGAUCUUCAGAUGAAAAAUGCUAAGUACUGUAACAGGCUCAGGCCAAAUGGCUACAGGAGAGUGAUCCUGUUGGGAUCCAGGAAGUGGGUGGGCGGAAGCCCGCCCACUGCUAAAGGACCUCCCCCCAGCCUAAGGGGAGGAUCCACAGGACCUGGAAGCCAAAUGAUUCUGUGGGACAACUAAUGAGAUAACAGGGACAGGAGUGAGGUCAAAGGGUCAAACGAAGGGAACCUGACAGGGACACCGAGCAGAGAACCCUGAGAGUGAUAGAAGGUAGAUAUAUUAGCCCCAGAUUAAGCAGGUCCCUUUUCCCUGAGUAAGAUAAUGGGCUGUUCCAGAACAAUCAGGAAGUUGCUGGAACCAAUUAAGGCAGGCUAAUUAGGACACUUGGAGCCAAUUAAGAAGCUACUAGAAUCAAUUAGGACAGGCAGGCUAAUCAGGGCACCUGGUUUUAAAAAGGACCUUAUUUCAGUUAGUGAGGCAUGUGCAAGGAGCUGGGAGCAAGAGGUGUGCAAGAUGCUGAGAGUGAGAAGGCAUACUGCUGGAGGACUGAGAAGUACAAGCAUUAUCAGACAUCAGGAGGAAGAUCCUGUGGUGAGCAUAAAGAAGGUGUUGGGAGGAGAUAAUGGGGAAGUAGCCCAGGGAGUUGUAGUUGUCACGCAGCUAUUACAGGAGACACUGUUGACAGGGCCCUGGGCUCGAACCCGGAUUCCCCCCAUCCCUCCAACUCCCUAUUUGAUACCAGAGGAGUUGACCUGGACUGUGGGUCCCACCAGAGGGGAAGGUCCCUAGCCUGUCCCCCGACUUUGAGGCGAGCAAAUCCACCAAUAAGCGCAGGACCCACCAAGGCAGAGGAGGAACUUUGUCACAGUACUAAAUAUGUCACCAUGGGCUGCGGUCAGAUUAGAGCUGGUUUUUUUGGAAAGGUGACUUCUGAAUGUGUGUAAAUAUCUGCAUUAGCAGAAACUAAAAACAACUCCUCAAGAGAUCUCGUGGUUCUUCGUGAUGAUUGUGUUUGUCUUUCUUUUAAAUAACAGAGGGCUUUUAGAAGUGCUCUGUCCUGCGUGUGAUCUGGUCUCUCUGUCCAUUUAAACCUCCCUUGCCCUUGGUGUCUGUGUUCCUGAUAGCUGCUGAUUGGAUCAAAGCUUCACCGAGCUUCGCUUCCACCCCUUCAAAUUUUCAUUAA
Molecule: long non-coding RNA, 3551 nt
Organism: Caretta caretta (loggerhead turtle)
Lineage: Eukaryota; Metazoa; Chordata; Testudines; Cheloniidae
Source: RefSeq, a predicted model, not a curated record